UACAAGUAUGAACCUGAAAGUGAGCAUAAUGUGGGACCUUUAAACUUACUGUUUGCCUGCCCUAUUAAAGACGGAUGGCCUAUGUUGAUACCACAACCACAACCACACUGCAACGUUACUAUUUUUGGUUCUUCAUAAAUAUGCACCUGUUUUGGCAGGAAAUGGUGAUAUGCGGUGGGACUCCUGUGAAACUUGUGAAAAGAUAUGGUAAAUAUAAUUGCCCUAAAAGUCAGAGGUGUCUGUGGGCACAGAUAAGAUCUGGUAUAUUACCACUACAUAUUGAAACAGGAAGAUACAGAUGUGUAACUGAAGACACAAGACUGUCAAUACUGUGAAUUAAAUGUGGUUGAGAACGAAAUUCAUUUCAUUUUAUUUUGUCCUGUAUAUCAUGAUUUACUACAAAUACUAUUAAGCCUUAAUUGAAUAUCUUUUUGAUCAUUUUUUGUAUUUUCUGAAUAUCUUUCUAAAGUAUGGGAUAGGAGGAGAAAAGUAACAUACGAUAGAUAAAUUCCUCAGGCUCUUAUGCCUUUUUGUCAUGAUUAGAUUUGUGUUUGUGUCUUGUGUUUAGGGGGCUGUGAUUGUAUAUCUGUGACUGUUUAUUUGUUGUAUUUCCAUUGUGGGAUAUAUAUCCUGGGGCAUUAUUUUAGGGAGGUUCAUGUUCACGAUUAUGUCUGGAUGAUGUUUAUUUGUAUGUUCAGAUGAUGCUGGUGUAUUGUGCUGUUAGAUGAUGGUGGGCUAACAUGCAGGAAGGUAUGAUUUGUUGUUGGUUAAUAUGUCUGAAUAAUCCCAUGAGGGAUGGGUUAUGUAAAUGACCAGACACGAAAAUUAAUCAUUCAUUCACUAUAAGAUCUAAAUAAACAACGAAAGAAGUUCAUCUGGUCAGGUUUUACUUCACGUUUUACUUUGAAAUAUGAGUUACGGUACCUUCAAAAGAUUGUAAAGACGCUGACAUUCAUGGAUUGUAUUCAACAAAACGUGAUGAUUUGUUAGCCUAUUUCUUUUUGCAUUUGUUAAUAUUACGAUAAUCAUUCCAGCAAUGCAUGAUGGGAUAGACUCAAGUCCUCCUGUGACCAGGAAAAAGAAGAUACAAAUAAUGAGUGAGUGAAUGAAUAAAUGAGUAAAUAAAUGAGAACAUAUGAGGAGAAAAACACAGCAAGCUGUAAAAUACUAUAAAGGUCAAAUGAGGGUUGAAUUAAAACCUCACCAUGUCUCUGUACUUUAAUUGAAAGCCAAACUUUUAUUUUAACUGCAUGUGAUAAACACAGUCAAUACUGAGGUGUUGCAGAUGCAAAUCAUGUUUCCUGUUUUAUGUUUCUGUGGGCUGGAGACCUUCACUCAGAUGAAACUGAAAGAGUUUGACUUUGUUGACAGAGCUGAGAGCCAUCACAGGGUAUGAGAUCUCUUGCUGGAAAAUGCGUGGUGGAUUAUUUGAAGCAAUCAAGAGAAGGGACAGUAACUUGGUGAGUCUUGCUAUUGAAAGAUAAUUUAGACACCGACACAAAUGUACUGGAGAAAUGGCUGAGAAAAGUGCUCAUUUUGAAAGUUUCCUGAACUGCCAUGAGAAUUCAGAGACAACCAGUGAUCCUGUGUCAUAUAGACUCAAAAAAGGUCUCACUCUUAAAAGAACAACCUCAAAAGACGAUCCUGGGUUGAACUUUGGACUGGAGGAACUGGCUGACUCCUUUGCUGGGGGACAGAAAGCUGGAUCACCUGAGACAGAAUAAGGAGAGAAGAAGGUGGAGGAGGUGUGUCGUAAACAUCAAGAAGUGACUAACUGUUCUGUGAGGAUGAAGAUGGAGCUGUGUGUCCUGUCUGUGAGUUUUCUCUCCAGACUCAAAAGGUGUUUCCCAUAGAAUGAGCAGCCAUUGACCUGGAGGACCAGCUGAAGUCUCCACAGGACAAGAGGGACAAAUACAAACAAGUGGAGAAAACAUGCGAGGAAAUGGUUAAAUACUUCAUGAAGUCCUUUUUUAUAUGUUUCACCCCUGCUCCUCAGAGAGCCUGACUCUGCUACUGGAUAUACCAAUAAUCCUGUCAUAUAUUAUGAGAAUAUUUACAGAACAUUACACCGUUAAACAACUUCUCUCACUGUCUGGAUAUAUAUUUUUUCAAGCCACUUUGUGUUUUUGUCUAUACCGUUGGAAAAAUAACUGCUGCAAGAAGAGAAGCAAAUGAAGGCUUGUUUGAGACGAUCCGCCCCCUCGCCUGGGAAAUAAUAGAUCAGGCGGCAGCAGCAGGGUGUGGGUGGUUUCUAAUUUUGGUAUCAUUGUUGCUCUAAGUCUUGUAACUGUUUCCAUUAGUGUUAUAUUGUUUAUUUCCUUUAUUGUUGGGGGUGGGAGGGAAAAUUGAUGAAAAAUAAAAGACUACUUACUUGCUCUUUAAUUUGUGUUCUUAAGCUUUU
Long non-coding RNA from Sebastes umbrosus (honeycomb rockfish), 2401 nucleotides. RefSeq lists it as uncharacterized. The transcript has 4 exons. NCBI's taxonomy places the organism in Eukaryota, Metazoa, Chordata, Actinopteri, Perciformes, Sebastidae. The record is from RefSeq and is a predicted model, not a curated record.